Molecule: unclassified non-coding RNA, 625 nt
Filed under: Centaurea josiae
Lineage: Eukaryota; Viridiplantae; Streptophyta; Magnoliopsida; Asterales; Asteraceae
Description: partial external transcribed spacer
Source: RNAcentral
UGCGCCUCACUUUCUAGCUCGUCUAGAUCACCCAGGGCGUAGGCAUGUGUAUCGUAUUUUGUCGGGUUUCGAGCUCAAGAAUCGAUGUCCCUUUGUUGGUUGGUUUUCCGAGAAUCCUUGACCCUUGAUUUGUUACUUUCGCAUCGUUCGGUGCAUUCUGGGGGAUGUUUUGGCUUUUGGUGGCUUACUUGGCCUUUUGGCUGGGUUUGUUGCUAUUGGUCGGGCGGCUUUCGGGAAUGUCGACCGUGGAGGUGCAUGAGUGGUGUUUGGUUUGUUACGUGUGGAUGGCUGUUUGCUUGCGCAACAACGUUCACGCUGCAUACCUCUUCAGUUUUGCGGCAAGGCUUGGUUUGGCUUGUGCAUAUUGUGGGUUUCCUGUGUUGCAUACCUAGUUGAAGGAAAAGUGUGGGUUUUACGAUUUUCAUUUUCGUCUUGCGUCGUUCUUUCGGCAUGAGAUGAGCAAUGAAGCGAUCUUUAUGAUCCAUCGUGCUGUUGUGUUUGCAACAAUGAUGUGGCCUAUGAAGCAUCGUUUGGUCUCUUGUAUACGGAAGCUCAUUUGGGCUUGGGUCUUCAUAAGAUCUUCGUUAUGCCCUUGUUAAGCGUUCUCGCUUCUCCUAAACGAUUG